Molecule: long non-coding RNA, 1268 nt
Filed under: Daphnia pulicaria
Lineage: Eukaryota; Metazoa; Arthropoda; Branchiopoda; Diplostraca; Daphniidae
Description: uncharacterized LOC124321069, transcript variant X2
Source: RNAcentral
CAUCUGUAAACGAUAAUUGACAAUGCAAUCGUAAUCGUAAACAGAAUCUUAAUCAGGCCAGCAAUCGUAAAUAUAAUUGCAAUUGGCUUUUUAAUGCCCCAAUUAAUGCGCAAUUUAAUUGAUUAUCGUACAAUUUCUGGCUUUGAUUAAUAUUCUAUUUACCGGUGCUAUUUGCAAAGCAACGGUUUCGUUCUUAUUUAAUGUCCGCUUUGUAGCCCUUUUUUAAAUGCCCGAGCAAUGCUCAGUCUUAACCCAUCCUCCCUAUUUUCUGGCCUGUUAGCGCGCGCCACCAAGCGGACACGGCGAAACUAGUACUUCCCCCUUCAUGGUGUUCACAUGAGGCGGCAAAGGCAGACAAGAUAUAGAUGCAAAGAAGAGAUAGGCAAUUGUAUCAAGGAUUUUUACCAAUAUUUUCAGCCCCAGCGGUUUUUCAUCCUCCAUUGUUAUCGUCGCAACUCGCAAAUCCAGUUCAGAGAGGCAUGGCAGAUCAAAUUCCGAGAUACCAUGACAACAAUUCACCUGGUGUCACAAACCAAGUUUACAACUACAAUCAGAAAAAUUCACCUGGUGUGUCAAACCAAGUGCUCCACAUGACUGCAAACAGCUCGCCUGGUGUUGCAAACCAAGUAUUGAGAAUGAUUACUGAUUUGGCUUCGCAGCUUCAACAGCAGUCAGCACAGCAAGGACAAGGUGUUGAUUUUGGCUCUGACAAUCUUGAUUCACCUGGUGUGUCAAACCAAGUGCUGAACAUGACUGCUAACAGCUCACCUGCUGUGGCAAACCAGGCUGAGAGACUAGAUGACUAUGGGAAUCUGUAUGUUCUUUGAACUGCUCACCAGUUGCUUCUGCUUAACGACCAAACUCAAAAGUCAUUGGAUGCACAUCAGCUUGCCAUUUAUUUAGGAUGAACCUGGUAGAGACGGAGGAGAUCCCGAUGAUUGGGACCAAACUGUUCAUACUAUUCCCGCUGUGGAUGUCGCUGCUUUUCGUUGUCCAUUGAAUGCUGAGCAGUUAUUCGAGAUGGAGAGGCGCAUCAGAAAAGAACAGAUUGAUCUCGAAAAUUUACACAUACAUUAAAUACCAGGAUGUGAAAAAUUAUGUUUUGAACUCAUUGGUUAACUGAGCCCUUUUUAUUUGCCUUUCUAACACUUCUCACUCUGCCAACUCAUUCCAAUACGUGUCGAAAAUUGGCUGUUGAUGUGUAGAUAUUGCCACUUGCUGGUUCAUGUGAAAGUCAAUAAAAAGCGUAACGAUAGGUCUUAACGUUA